Molecule: transfer RNA, 60 nt
Filed under: Marcia hiantina
Lineage: Eukaryota; Metazoa; Mollusca; Bivalvia; Venerida; Veneridae
Description: tRNA-Tyr
Source: RNAcentral
AAAGAGGCGGCUGUUGAAGUGUUAAGUUGUAACCUUAAUUAUGGUGAAUUCCCCUCUUUA